GGACUGGUGAACCCAGGUGAGUGACCCAGACCUAAUUAUGGGCUUGCCACCCGGAUAACCCCAGUCCACGCAUGGCCUCCUCUGAAGCUCCCUACCACCUGGCCAGGUCUCUGCUAUGUUGAGCUCCAUCUCUCAGUAGCAACCCACGUUGGGCACAGUCCUCUGUGUCUUAUGCAUUAACAAAUGUAACAUUCCUGACCAACAACCUUAUGAGGCAGACCGUUUUGUUACCAAUGCUGUCUUACGGAUGAAAGAUGGGAAGCACAGAGAGGGGCUUCUCAGUGGGGAAACGUCUUGUGCUGAACUCCUGGUUGGGCUGUCUCCCCGCCCCAGGCCUGAUGCUCUGCCUCUCAGAAAGAUGUCCACCUGUGCCCACCAUGUUCCACUUCCCAACCACGACUAGGCCAGGCUGUCCACCAAGCAGGAAGGGGCUGGCUGGAAUGUCCCUGGAAGGCAGACUGCAAGAUAGCAAGCACUGUGUUUGCUCAUCUGUCAUUGUAUCCCCGGCUUGGGGAUGGGUAGCCUUCAGCACUUGUCUACUGAAUGAAUGACCCUGGUGGCCUGAGGCUGCUCAUACUGGGCCCCCAAGUGUCCCUUGCAACCUUGAUCCGGGCUAACUGUGGGGGCCUGAACCCUUGGCAUGGUUUGCCAAGUGACAGAGGAGAAACACUUUAAGUUGGGGAGAGAGUUAUCAGCUGGGCAUCAGAGAGAGGUCACAGGGAGCCACUGGGUGGCCAGAGAUGGCAGGAAGCCUGGGGAGUGGGGAC
Bos taurus (domestic cattle) is the source of this 767-nucleotide long non-coding RNA. Lineage: Eukaryota; Metazoa; Chordata; Mammalia; Artiodactyla; Bovidae. The record is from Ensembl.